CCAGGGGGGCAUGAGCUCUGUCGGGACUCGGGGCCCCUCUUUUACCGAGCCGUCAUCUCCCUGUCGCUCGUCGUUCUCUUCUCCCUGGGAAUCAUCCUCAGCCUGCGGCCUUGGAACGGUGUCCCCGUGGAUCCCGCGGUGGGUGCUGGCUCCAAGCUGCCCCCAGCACAAGGGCAGGUGUCUCUGAUUUAGCCGCUCACGGGGCGCUGGUCACUGGCAGGAUUUUCCCAGCUCCAGGUUCAGAAGCUGUCAGACUUCGCUGGACUCUGAGCCGCCUUCCGGGGGCUCCUGCCGGGCCGGGGCUUCUCCGCUCUCCUCUGCUUCUGUCUGUGGGUCUGGCCUGUACAUCUUGGGUAUGAGAAGAACAGUAAAGAAAAUUAAAUAUUUCUCCAGAUUCAUUCCUCGUGGGACAAUAUUUUUUCAUUUACAAAUCUAAAGUACACGCUGUAACAGAGUCAGCCGCCAGAGAAAACCGAAUUCUAGAGAAAACCUACCUGGUUUAUACAGGAAAAAUCUAUCUGGAGCAGGCUUGAUUUGGUAGAAGGAAUUCGCUGAUUGAAAGAGAAACAUGUUGCAAGAAAUAAAUAUAUUUCUAUGUCUGGAAAUAAAAUCUAUCGCAAAAAUUC
Long non-coding RNA from Malaclemys terrapin pileata, 626 nucleotides. RefSeq lists it as uncharacterized. NCBI's taxonomy places the organism in Eukaryota, Metazoa, Chordata, Testudines, Emydidae. The record is from RefSeq and is a predicted model, not a curated record. The transcript has 2 exons.